GACGAACGCUGGCGGCGUGCCUAAUACAUGCAAGUAGAACGCUGAAGGAGGAGCUUGCUCUUCUGGAUGAGUUGCGAACGGGUGAGUAACGCGUAGGUAACCUGCCUGGUAGCGGGGGAUAACUAUUGGAAACGAUAGCUAAUACCGCAUAACAGUAGAUGUUGCAUGACAUUUGCUUAAAAGGUGCAAUUGCACCACUACCAGAUGGACCUGCGUUGUAUUAGCUAGUUGGUGGGGUAACGGCUCACCAAGGCGACGAUACAUAGCCGACCUGAGAGGGGGAUCGGCCACACUGGGACUGAGACACGGCCCAGCCUCCUACGGGAGGCAGCAGUAGGGAAUCUUCGGCAAUGGACGGAAGUCUGACCGAGCAACGCCGCGUGAGUGAAGAAGGUUUUCGGAUCGUAAAGCUCUGUUGUAAGAGAAGAACGAGUGUGAGAGUGGAAAGUUCACACUGUGACGGUAUCUUACCAGAAAGGGACGGCUAACUACGUG
This 495-nucleotide ribosomal RNA is filed under the name uncultured bacterium. RNAcentral describes it as "partial 16S ribosomal RNA". It matches the Rfam family "Bacterial small subunit ribosomal RNA", at positions 28 to 507 of the family's 1533-position model. The record is from RNAcentral.